UAUUAAAUUUUUUAUCCAUUUGUAUUGUUAAAAACUGACAUUGGCUACAUAAUAAUUAGACGAUGACACUUGACAUGCCACCUGUAUCUCAUGUUAAUAUAUAAAAAAAGUUUUUAACAAUAAAAAUAGAUGAAUUUUUUAACA
RNAcentral lists this microRNA precursor (144 nucleotides) under Gossypium hirsutum (cotton). RNAcentral describes it as "MIR7502 microRNA precursor family". It matches the Rfam family "MIR7502 microRNA precursor family". Lineage: Eukaryota; Viridiplantae; Streptophyta; Magnoliopsida; Malvales; Malvaceae. The record is from Rfam by way of RNAcentral.